Molecule: long non-coding RNA, 392 nt
Filed under: Gossypium raimondii (Peruvian cotton)
Lineage: Eukaryota; Viridiplantae; Streptophyta; Magnoliopsida; Malvales; Malvaceae
Description: long non-coding RNA (GRAI_LNC001657)
Source: RNAcentral
CUUUGUGUGUUGUUUCUUUGCUGUCUUUUCUUCCUUUUUUUUUUGCAGACGGUGGUUGAGGAUGAUGGUGGCAGAGGCAGACCUAGGGUGCGGCGUGCUAACGUGGCCAAGGCAUAGGAGCGGCGAUGAGGCUAGGGUUUCUGCUUUGCUGAAAAAUGUUUUGGUUUUGGGCUUAUCGGGCCAUUAGGGUUUUUUUAUAAAUUUGAGCUACUGUAAAUUGACUAUUGUCUUUUUUAUUAUUGGACUUUAAUUAUUUUUUUGUUUUAUUUAUUUUUCAUUUAGUUUAUGGUGGGCUAGACAGAAUUAGGCCUUUACACCUAUUUUAGAGUUAGGGUUGUUGUCGUCUUCAACCCUAGGUCAGUUGACAUUCUCAUGUUUUGAUUUCCAUUGUG